CAAAUUUCCAUUCUAGGUAAAACUUCAACCAUAGCAAAGCGAAGUUGCCUUUGCCUUCUCCUUCAACAUCCAUUCAUUCGGGAUCGAACAAAGAAUCUACCACUCUGCCUCUGCCUUCAAUUCAUAGCACAACACACGCAGAGAUUGAUUCCAAUCGUUUCUUUUCUCUUGCAUCCGCUGGAGGAAAAUCAAAAUCUCCAAUUCAUAGUCAGAAUGUGCACACACAAACUUGUGUAUAUUAAAAAGAAAUUCAUUAAUACGGC
RNAcentral lists this unclassified non-coding RNA (263 nucleotides) under Hevea brasiliensis (rubber tree). The record is from RNAcentral. Lineage: Eukaryota; Viridiplantae; Streptophyta; Magnoliopsida; Malpighiales; Euphorbiaceae.